Molecule: non-coding RNA, 514 nt
Organism: Pimephales promelas (fathead minnow)
Lineage: Eukaryota; Metazoa; Chordata; Actinopteri; Cypriniformes; Leuciscidae
Source: RefSeq, a predicted model, not a curated record
ACUCACAAUUCUGACUUUUUUUUGGCGCAAUUGAUAUAAACUUUGACCUUUCUCGUAAUUGGGAUGGAAGUAUGCCACGAGUUGAGACCAGAGUCUUCCGUUUCAUCGUCAAAGACAGAGCUUGGAUGGACAUUUUCCGAUGACAAGGAUGGACGAUUUUAUCAUUUUUCUGAGGGAGAGGAACAUUCCAGAAACCACCAUACAAAGGCUGGAGGAGGACAAGAUUGAUGUCAGUGUCCUACUGCUAAUGACUGAUGACCAGAUGAGAAGCUAUUUUCCUUCAUAUGGAGACAGACUGGCAGUUUUGGGAUUUUGUAGGAGGAAAGAAACUGAGCCAACUUGCAGGAAGUCAAAGCUGUUUGAGCGCCUCAAAUCAAAACUUAGCAAAAGACAAAAAAUUGACAAUUCACAAACUGAAAACCAUGCAACUAGAACAAACAUCUCUCAGCGUACUGAAAGAAAAGUUGAGAUUGGGUGGAUGCACUAUGAUGGACAGGGCUUUGUUCAAAUGAGA